GAGUUUGAUCGUGGCUCAGAUUGAACGCUGGCGGCAUGCCUUACACAUGCAAGUCGAACGGCAGCAUGAUCUAGCUUGCUAGAUUGAUGGCGAGUGGCGAACGGGUGAGUAAUACAUCGGAACGUGCCCUGUAGUGGGGGAUAACUAGUCGAAAGAUUAGCUAAUACCGCAUACGACCUGAGGGUGAAAGUGGGGGACCGCAAGGCCUCAUGCUAUAGGAGCGGCCGAUGUCUGAUUAGCUAGUUGGUGGGGUAAAGGCCCACCAAGGCGACGAUCAGUAGCUGGUCUGAGAGGACGAUCAGCCACACUGGGACUGAGACACGGCCCAGACUCCUACGGGAGGCAGCAGUGGGGAAUUUUGGACAAUGGGCGAAAGCCUGGUCCAGCAAUGCCGCGUGUGUGAAGAAGGCCUCGGUUGUAAGU
RNAcentral lists this ribosomal RNA (423 nucleotides) under uncultured microorganism. RNAcentral describes it as "bacterial SSU rRNA". It matches the Rfam family "Bacterial small subunit ribosomal RNA", at positions 9 to 430 of the family's 1533-position model. The record is from RNAcentral.